This 380-nucleotide RNase P RNA is filed under the name Bacteroidaceae bacterium. RNAcentral's name for it is "RNase P RNA component class A". It matches the Rfam family "Bacterial RNase P class A". From Rfam's summary of the family: Ribonuclease P (RNase P) is a ubiquitous endoribonuclease, found in archaea, bacteria and eukarya as well as chloroplasts and mitochondria. Its best characterised activity is the generation of mature 5'-ends of tRNAs by cleaving the 5'-leader elements of precursor-tRNAs. Lineage: Bacteria; Pseudomonadati; Bacteroidota; Bacteroidia; Bacteroidales; Bacteroidaceae. The record is from RNAcentral.
GCAGUCGGGACGGCUUGUCGCGUGCGCUCCUUUAGGGUGGCGCAGGAGGAAAGUCUGGGCAGCACAGGGAGCUCCGCUUCCCAAUCGGAAGGUGCCCGUGAGGGCAGAUUGGUGUAGAAGAAAAUAACCGCCUCCGGUCUUAAAUGCCGGGGGUAAGGGUGAGAAGGUGGGGUAAGAGCCCACCGCUGCAAUGGUGACAUUGCGGGCUGUGCACUUCGGAGGCUGAAAGUCCGCGUAUACCGGCGUCAUUAGGGCGUCCCGUCCGAUUAUCGCCGGAGGGUAGGACGAUAGAACUUGUCGGUGACGGCAAGUCCGGAUAAAUGACAAGCGGUCUGUUUUUGCAGACUACAGAACCCGGCUUAUAGAGCCCGGCUGCUUCU